Molecule: long non-coding RNA, 299 nt
Filed under: Phoenix dactylifera (date palm)
Lineage: Eukaryota; Viridiplantae; Streptophyta; Magnoliopsida; Arecales; Arecaceae
Description: long non-coding RNA (PDAC_LNC014398)
Source: RNAcentral
UUUAAUUAAUUAUUGCUCAAUUAAAAAUAAGGUGAGUGAUUAACUAAAUAUAUUGCAAGUGAAUUAGUUAAAUCACUAGAUGCAAUGAGUAAAGAGAAUGAAAGAGACAAGGUGCAAUACAAACACAGAAAGAUUUAUAGUGGUUCGGAGCCAACUCUUGCUCCUACGUCCACUCCCCAAGCCACACUUGGGAGUUCACUAUAAUUCCUAGGAUUACAACCGAUUGUUUUACAAGCUCACAACCCAACUUGUUGUUUUCACGAGGUCACAACGAACUCGAUCGGUUUUGACAGGCUCAC